GACGAACGCUGGCGGCGUGCCUAAUACAUGCAAGUUGAGCGCUGAAGGUUGGUACUUGUACCAACUGGAUGAGCAGCGAACGGGUGAGUAACGCGUGGGGAAUCUGCCUUUGAGCGGGGGACAACAUUUGGAAACGAAUGCUAAUACCGCAUAAAAACUUUAAACACAAGUUUUAAGUUUGAAAGAUGCAAUUGCAUCACUCAAAGAUGAUCCCGCGUUGUAUUAGCUAGUUGGUGAGGUAAAGGCUCACCAAGGCGAUGAUACAUAGCCGACCUGAGAGGGUGAUCGGCCACAUUGGGACUGAGACACGGCCCAAACUCCUACGGGAGGCAGCAGGAGGGAAUCUUCGGCAAUGGACGAAAGUCUGACCGAGCAACGCCGCGUGAGUGAAGAAGGGUGUCGGAUCGUAAAAGUCUGUUGGUAGGGAAGAAAGUUGGUGAGAGUGGAAAGCUCAUCAAGUGACGGUAACUACCCAGAAAGGGACGGCUAACUACGUG
This 497-nucleotide ribosomal RNA is filed under the name uncultured bacterium. Its description in RNAcentral is "partial 16S ribosomal RNA". It matches the Rfam family "Bacterial small subunit ribosomal RNA", at positions 28 to 507 of the family's 1533-position model. The record is from RNAcentral.